Molecule: non-coding RNA, 112 nt
Organism: Acanthosepion pharaonis
Lineage: Eukaryota; Metazoa; Mollusca; Cephalopoda; Sepiida; Sepiidae
Source: the annotation of a GenBank genome assembly
UACAGCUACAUCAGGUUGAAACUACCAGUUUCCCUACUAUCACUGAAGUGAAGCAAUGUUGAGCCUGGUCAGUACCUAGAUGAGUGACCCCUUGGAAAUAACAGGUGCUAUA